Non-coding RNA from Macaca mulatta (Rhesus monkey), 1185 nucleotides. The record is from RefSeq and is a predicted model, not a curated record. NCBI's taxonomy places the organism in Eukaryota, Metazoa, Chordata, Mammalia, Primates, Cercopithecidae.
GCAGCCGCGCCCCCAGCCGUAUUUCCGCUGGCGCAGAGCACCAGAGAGAGAGUCUUGUGGCUGCGGUUUGCAGACUGCUCUUCGCCCCCCUCCGCGAGGUUACCCCUGUACUCGCCGCCAUCCAUCCUGACGCCCGGGAUGAGUCACUGAGAGGCAGCGCCCGAGGCGUGGUCUUCCCAAGAACCCCCAGUGGCCUCCCAAGGCCGGUGCUGUGUACCUCCUUCCCGACAAAAGGGGAAACUGAGGCCCCGAGGGGAGUGGGAAGAGCCGGCCGGACGUCAGGCCCAGCCCCUGGUGCAGUGCUGCGUCCCCUCCACCGGGGUGGGCCCCUCAGGAUUCGCGUGUCCUCGGGAAAAAGACUGGCGGGCCUCGUGGGCUGUGCGGCUCUCCUGGAGACAGAUGACAGCUCUCCCUUGGAUGACUUUGCUGGUUCCGCACCAGCCACAGCCCCCGUUUUUCCCGCAGCACCCUGAUCUGCACUCCCUGAGGGGCUCCCACUGUCCGCGCGGUGAGAAUGUCCCUGGAUAGUCCACUGUGUGCAGAGGCAUGGGAGUUGUCAUGUCGGGAACAUGCUAGACCUCCGUGUCCUUGAGCUUGAAGAAAGAUGGCAGAGCACUGGCGACCAAGCACUUGCAGCCUCCUGCUCUGUGGCCCCUCCUCACUCCAGGGAUGCCGCCCUGGGUCUGGAGACUGUUGGAGGAAACCCCAGGAGGUGCAGGCACUGAGCCUCUCGAGACAAUGACCUGGGGUCCCAGCUUCCCUGGAGGGGUCUCCUCAUGAUUGUUUGAGGGUUGAUCACAGACCAAAAGUGAUGAGUGAUGUCACUCCAUGACGCAUGGCUGGACCUUCUUGCCCCUAUUGUCUCAGCACAACACUAAUCGACUUUUCCCUCAGCGUGGGUGGAGGGUGGGCAGAGGAAAAGCCCUGUGGCUCUGGGGACUUGGGAUCCAGAGGUGAAGACCUUUCAGCUGGCUCUGCCCUGCCAGUGCCACAGAGUGCCAUGGCCCAGGAAGACUGGUUUUCUUCCAUCUAGGCCAGGCCAUCCAGUGGCCAUCCUCCGUGUCCUCCUGCCUGUUCCUGGUGUGACUUCUGAAAACCAAGAAUUUGUUCCUGUUGACUUUUUCUGUGCUGUGGACCAUUGUCCUCUCACGCACUCAAUAAAUCUUGAAACAUGCCCUGCUGCUA